UACGAGAUAGUAUCCAACACAGCAGGAGACUCCUAUGCGGAUCCGCGUUCAAGUCGCCAAACCCGCGUGACUGUCACAUUCGUUUUGGAGCCGCACAGAGGAUCAGCUCCGCCUCCGGCAGCGCCGUAAAUUCUACUGUCAAACAGCGGAUCCUGAACGGACCCAUGUCGGAUCCUCGGACGCGCCUUUACUGAACGGUUAAACGAUGCACACCUGUCAAUCGAGACUUUCUUGCUGGGACACGGUUCAGCUGAACCCUCUUUUGAGUGCUGUGUUCAACCUGGCAACAGAUCGGGCAACAAGGAGACGUGUAAUGGAAGAAAUGAUUAAAUAAUAAAAAAACAUUUUUGUUGAACAA
This is a non-coding RNA of Misgurnus anguillicaudatus (oriental weatherfish), 358 nucleotides long. The record is from RefSeq and is a predicted model, not a curated record. Lineage: Eukaryota; Metazoa; Chordata; Actinopteri; Cypriniformes; Cobitidae.